UACAGAGGUCUCAAGCGUUGUUCGGAUUCAUUGGGCGUAAAGGGUGCGUAGGCGGCGCGGUAAGUCGGGUGUGAAAUCUCGGAGCUUAACUCCGAAACUGCAUUCGAUACUGCCGUGCUUGAGGACUGGAGAGGAGACUGGAAUUUACGGUGUAGCGGUGAAAUGCGUAGAUAUCGUAAGGAAGACCAGUGGCGAAGGCAGUGGUCUGGGCCGAAACUGACGCUGAGGAGCGAAAGCGUGGGUAGCGAACAGG
RNAcentral lists this ribosomal RNA (253 nucleotides) under uncultured bacterium. RNAcentral describes it as "partial 16S ribosomal RNA". It matches the Rfam family "Bacterial small subunit ribosomal RNA", at positions 524 to 776 of the family's 1533-position model. The record is from RNAcentral.